AUGGCGGGGAAAAGGAUGGGGCGGGCGUCCUACAUCCGGAUCAAGCACGAGGAGGAGCGGCACGAGGCGUCCUGGAAGGAGCCCGAGGGCUGGGUCUUCUCCGCCACCACGCGCACCGAUCACUCCGGCUGCUCCUCCGCCCGCCGCGGCGGCGACCUAGGAAUUUGGACCGUCCUGCAAGAAGAAUCAGUUGAGAAGAUUGGACUAUGCUACUUCUCUAAGGCUGAGUAUACACUCUUUGUUGUUAAUUGUAGUGAUAGUUACUAUUAUUGA
RNAcentral lists this ribosomal RNA (273 nucleotides) under Triticum aestivum (bread wheat). RNAcentral's name for it is "partial small subunit ribosomal RNA". The record is from RNAcentral. Lineage: Eukaryota; Viridiplantae; Streptophyta; Magnoliopsida; Poales; Poaceae.